AACAUUUUUAUAUCGUUGAAUUCUAACAGAUACAAAAUCAUUGACAUGUACUUUCGAAAUAAUUAACCACUAAUUACAAAUUAGAAUAAACUAAUACAGUACCAUGCAUGUACUAAUGCACAAUUUUCUCAUUAAGAUUACUAUAUGAAUUAUAUUAGAGCAUCAUUCAACGACGCGUUCUCAGCUUUCACACUGAUGAGGCAAUAUCCGCGGUGGAUUAUUACAAUUACAGAGGUCUGAACCCAAGACUGGUGUUGUCACGCGCCGUGUUAUUAAUCGAAUACCGCUCCGAGUGCACGGCGAGAAGAAGAGGAGGAACACAGUGAUACGUAUCAAGGUAUUCUCUCAAGAAACCAUUUGCGACGGAUCUGUUGAUUAUAGCCAAAGUGAUUGGAGGGCGGUAGCGGUACACUUUGAUGUUAGGUAUUUCUUACUGUAUACUAGAAUGGCAGCAAUGUAGGAUAUUGAUAUCAUAAACAUAAUAUUAAAAAUUACCUGAUUCGUACAGUAUAUUAGUAGGACUGUAAGAAAAUUCUGAAAUUCUAGGACAAUUAAAUUUAAAUAAUAUAAUAAUAAUUAGUAAUACACAGUAAGCAUUUGAUUUUCAAUUGAAAGUAAAUCUGUAAAACACUGGAGUGUCACAGGUUCUUAUACUAUAAUUCUUUUUAGAUACCAAUUUUAAGAAGGCGCUCACACGUCAGCAGCACACACCAACGAUUGGACCGGCGCCCAACGCAGUGUGCCAAGUGUCGAAAACAAAAUCCAAAAAGAAUUCCGUAAUGACUCUUAUAUCAUUAAAGCGACAGUGAUUUUUAUUUCAACAAUGCUUAAAAUCAACGGAUGGUAUGUUAAUAAUAAUAAAAAAAAAAAAUGAACGGUUAAAACAACGAAUAAAUUUAAUUACUUCCAUUUCUCUCUAAAUCAUUAAAAUUCAAACGUAUUUAAAAAAUGAAAAUUUUGAAUACAACAUUUAUCAGAGUGUUAUACUUUGUAUGGCGUUGGUGGCACCUAUUUUUAUCUACGAUGUUUUUGAAAGAUUAAAGAGGAAGUCUGGAUUAUUUCAUAGACGCUAAAUAAAGUAAUAGUUCAAAUUUCUACGCUGUAAACUAAAACAAUUAUUAAAAAAAUUUUAAUAACUAAUUCCGUAUAGUGAAUUAUUAACGUACGCAUAAUCAGAACACAAAGUUUAUGUUAAGGUCACUAUAUUCUAAAAUAAUAAUAAAAUAUCAAAAAAGUAAAUAUUUUAUCUAUUAUUAACACUUAAAAUAUAUCUUUAUUUACAAC
Daktulosphaira vitifoliae (grape phylloxera) is the source of this 1284-nucleotide long non-coding RNA. RefSeq lists it as uncharacterized. The transcript has 3 exons. NCBI's taxonomy places the organism in Eukaryota, Metazoa, Arthropoda, Insecta, Hemiptera, Phylloxeridae. The record is from RefSeq and is a predicted model, not a curated record.